This 406-nucleotide ribosomal RNA is filed under the name uncultured bacterium. Its description in RNAcentral is "partial 16S ribosomal RNA". It matches the Rfam family "Bacterial small subunit ribosomal RNA", at positions 29 to 526 of the family's 1533-position model. The record is from RNAcentral.
AUUGAACGCUGGCGGCAGGCCUAACACAUGCAAGUCGAGCGAGCGGCGGACGGGUGAGUAAUGUCUGGGAAACUGCCUGAUGGAGGGGGAUAACUACUGGAAACGGUAGCUAAUACCGCAUACCAUCAGAUGUGCCCAGAUGGGAUUAGCUUGUUGGUGGGGUAAUGGGUCACCCAGGCGACGAUCCCUAGCUGGUCUGAGAGGAUGACCAGCCACACGGGAACGGAGACACGGUCAAGACUCCUACGGGAGGCAGCAGUGGGAAAUAGUGCACAAUGGGCGCAAGCCUGAUGCAGCCAUGCCGCGUGUGUGAAGAAGGCCUUCGGGUUGUAAAGGACUUUCAGCGGGGAGGCGUUACCCGCAGAAGAAGCAACGGCUAACUCCGUGCCAGCAGCCGCGGUAAUAC